GCUCAAGGCGUCGUGCGCAUUUGACCCUCCUUGGAACUCCGACUCAGUGCUUGGACGCC
This 59-nucleotide non-coding RNA is filed under the name Alexandrium minutum. The record is from RNAcentral. Lineage: Eukaryota; Dinophyceae; Gonyaulacales; Pyrocystaceae.